RNAcentral lists this ribosomal RNA (253 nucleotides) under uncultured bacterium. Its description in RNAcentral is "partial 16S ribosomal RNA". It matches the Rfam family "Bacterial small subunit ribosomal RNA", at positions 524 to 776 of the family's 1533-position model. The record is from RNAcentral.
UACGGAGGAUCCAAGCGUUAUCCGGAUUUAUUGGGUUUAAAGGGUGCGUAGGCGGACUUGUAAGUCAGUGGUGAAAGCCUGCGGCUUAACUGCAGAAUUGCCAUUGAUACUGCUGGUCUUGAGUAUAGUUGAGGUGGGCGGAAUGUGUCAUGUAGCGGUGAAAUGCUUAGAUAUGACACAGAACACCGAUUGCGAAGGCAGCUCGCUAAACUAUAACUGACGCUGAGGCACGAAAGCGUGGGUAGCAAACAGG